CAGCCGUAAACUAUGCGCGUUAGGUGUAUCGGUGACCACGAGUCACCGAGGUGCCGAAGGGAAACCGUGAAACGUGCCGCCUGGGAAGUACGGUCGCAAGGCUGAAACUUAAAGGAAUUGGCGGGGGAGCACCACAACAGGUGGAGCCUGCGGUUUAAUUGGACUCAACGCCGGACAACUCACCGGGACGACAGCAAUAUGUAGGCCAGGCUGAAGACCUUGCCUGAAUCGCUGAGAGGAGGUGCAUGGCGUAGACGUCU
RNAcentral lists this ribosomal RNA (260 nucleotides) under uncultured archaeon. RNAcentral describes it as "partial 16S ribosomal RNA". It matches the Rfam family "Archaeal small subunit ribosomal RNA", at positions 748 to 1009 of the family's 1478-position model. The record is from RNAcentral.